UUUGUCGCUCUCCUUCAGCAUUCUAAAGUUAAUAACACAAUAAUUCAAACAGAAAGCUACAGGCAAUCAGAGUACUGCAAAACUUUUAACAGCCUAAUUGAUGUCAUGACAACAUAAAUGCAAAUUACCUUAUUUGGAUCAAAAGGAGAAUUGGAUUCAGCCACUCGUUUUCUUCGUUUCCCAUCAGGUGUAGCCCCUAUAAUGGGCUCUUCCGUUAAUUGGCGAUCUUCUUGAGAUUCUACACAAUUUGUUAUAGUCCUUUCGACAUUUGCCUCCUUGUUUGAGGAAUAAUUAAGAUGGCAGCCAGUAUUGGCAACCUGGCUACACUCGGUGAGACCAAAUGAACAAACCAUUUCUGAGAAGCUCCCACUUCCAUAGGAAGGAAACUUGGGCAUUAGCUCAGCAUAACUUGAGUCAGAUGGGUAAUGAACAAGAUGGGAAGUGGUACUGUUUCCCUGGUUUUCCAUCACAACAGGGUAAGGAGAAUUGGUAAAUUCACUAUGAGACACCAUUGAUGAACCUCCAAAAUUCUCAUGCUGACUCAUUGAAACAACUGGAUCCCAAGCAGGAGCAAAGAAGGGGUUUCCACUCAUUCCUGAAGAUUGACAAUUGAUAACACUUUGGCCUCCAUUUUGAAACGCCUUACCAUCAUUGUUAUCACCAUUACCACCCAUUUCUCCAGAUUCAAAGCCUAAAUCCCCAAAUUCUAAAAAACAAGCCUAUGUGUGAUUUUGUAGAAAACCCAACCCAAGAGUUAGCCAAGAGCAGGACUAAAUAUAGAUAUAAAACAGAAGGAACUAUAGAUUAAAGGUAAAGUGGGUUUGACCAGAAUUAGCUGGUGAUAUCUUGCAGGACUCAACAAGGAACAAGUGGCCUUGGGCCUUGGCAGCUUUAUAGAACUGAGGGUUGCUAAAGGAAAAGAAACGCCUCAUUGCAGCAUCCCAUAGACUCAAAGUGAAAAAAGAGGAAAUCCAAUGUAUGAAAGCAUAAAAUCUAACCAGCAACAGCUACUCGACUCAUCUUUGAAAAGACCUUAGGAUCAAGGCUACUCUAAUAUGCAACGAUAAAACGGAAAAUGCUUCCUGGAGACAAGAAAGUGAACCUUUCAGAGCAUAAAGUAGACAUAGACAAACAAUGGCAUUAGCCAACUAACAGCUCAUCAGUCCUUUCAAAAGGAAAGCAGAUUCCCUUUUCACUUUUGCUCGUACAAGAAAGCAGCUCCACUCAUUUAAGACACCAAUGUAUUAAAAUUGGCAGACCUGAAUCUCUUCAUUUAGAACCUAAUUCAGGGGGAAGACCUCAAACUUUAACCAAUGAAUGUGGAAUUAGAAAAUAGUGUAUAGAGAAGUGAAAUGACUAGCUCUUCAAGUUUUGAAUCAGAAGACCCAAGAAGGCCAAAUAACCAAAGGAAAGGUAAGCUGCAGAGCACCUUUUGAGAUAUUCUCAGAUGGGUUUCCAAAAAAGACCAAAAAGCAUUAAAUUCUAUUUGAAUUAUACAAGAACUGAAAAGAACAGAGUUUCAUUCACAGUCCCCUAAAACGGGUGUUUGAUAGUACCUGCUGAAGCAAACAGGUGACCUGUAUGAUUUUAAAAGACACACUAACCACUACCCAGGCUUUCCCUGCUAAAUUAUUACAGAACCUAAUCUCUUUACUCCUUAUAAUUUCUUUUAGUAAGAAAUUCUUAAAUUAUUAUACCACUUUUUUCCGAUUUUCCUUUUGGAUUUUAAUAUUUAUUUUUCUCAAAGGAGAUAGGAGAGACAGGUUCUUCGCUUCAAGGCCAAGCUUGCUCGCUCACCUUGCUUGCUUCUUUGAAAUAUACU
This 1822-nucleotide unclassified non-coding RNA is filed under the name Hevea brasiliensis (rubber tree). Lineage: Eukaryota; Viridiplantae; Streptophyta; Magnoliopsida; Malpighiales; Euphorbiaceae. The record is from RNAcentral.